GGGGCUGUCGGCUGCGCGUUGCGCGCUGUCCCAGGUCCGAAACCAGUGCCCCAGGCGGCGAGGAGAGCGGUGCCUGGCAGGGAUGCUGCGGGCGGGAGCACCAACCGGGGACUUACCCCGGGCAGAAGUCCACACCGGGACCACCAUCAUGGCAGUGGAGUUUGACGGGGGCGUUGUGAUGGGUUCUGAUUCCCGAGUGUCUGCAGGGUGAGUAAAAGUGAAGAUGUAUGCGUUUGGAAAGAAGCUAAUGGCCUCAAAUACACACUUUCCUUACCCAUUCAUGAAGACUGGCGAACUGGAGCUUUGGAGGAAUGGAGUUGACCUUCCCCAAAAGCCACUAUGAUAAGCUAUUUGGUGGGUGCUUGGGUCUCUGAAUUUGUGGAGGAGGAUCUGGGGUCUGAAUGUGUAUGUGACCUGUCCCAGUAGUGUACAGGGAUGAGUAAAGGAAUAGGGUCUGAGAGGGGGACAGGAGAUAGAUUUUUGAGGGUCUUCUUUCCAUCUGUGCUUAGGGAUCAAAAAGAUGAUUCUGUCAAGCAGAUAUGUGGUUUCUCAUUUACCAUAUAUUGAACUAUUUUGUCUCUUCUCCCACUCCUAACCAAUUUCCUCACAUGCAAAAUGAGUAUAUGGGGUUAGGUCAAUAUUACUUACAUUAUGUUCCAUAGAACAUAACUCUCUCAAGAUUGUUAAUAGCAAAGAAAAUUGAUGAGGCAUAUUUUUCUUACCUUAGCAUUUUUUGCUUUGUUAUAAAAUCUAAGCCUGAAAAAUAAGCCUAAUUUUGAUUAACAUCUGCAGUGAUUAAUAAUAUCUGAGACAAUUAUUUGCCUCCUGCUUUAAUCCAAGUAUUAAACUUCAUGCUAUUCUCUCGUCAAAUAAAUUUGAGAGACAUUGAACGAUCACCCUCAAAAAUUCCUGAGUUCUGGUUGGGUGCAGUGGCUCACAUCUAUAAUCUCAGCACUUUGGGAUGCCGAGGUGGGCAGAUAUUUGAGGUCAGGAGUUCGAGACCAGCCUGGCCAACAUGUUGGGACCUUGUCUCUACUGAAAAUACAAACCUUAGCUGGGCUUGGUGGUGGGUGCCUGUAAUCCCAGCUAUUCGGGAGGCUGAGGCAGGAGAAUCACUUGAACCAGGGAGGCGAAGUUUGCAGUGAGCCCAAGAUUGCUCCACUGCACUCCAGCCUGGGUGACAGAGCGAGACUGUCUCAAAAAAAAAAAAAAAAAAACUGAGUUUUAACUUGGUGACUGUUGACUCCCUCCUGACAGCGAGGCGGUGGUGAACCGAGUGUUUGACAAGCUGUCCCCCCUGCACGAGCGCAUCUACUGUGCACUCUCUGGUUCAGCUGCUGAUGCCCAAGCCGUGGCCGACAUGGCCGCCUACCAGCUGGAGCUCCAUGGGUAUGAAGCUCUGGAGUUCUGACUCCCCACCCACUAGAGCUCCCCCAACCUGCAUGAAUCCCUGUACAGUGUGCUGUUCCAGGAGCUGGACACUGGGAAAUGGAAGAGUCUUGUUUUGGCUCUUGCUGGCACUUGAAUCUGUCAGUUUCUGCAUCUGUAAAGUGGAGAUAAUAUAGUACCUCAUGAGACGGUUAUUUUGAGAAUCACGUUCUAUAUGUGAACACAGUUUAAAAGCUGUAAAUCACUAUCCUGAUAUAAAUAAUCAGGAAGAAGGUGAUAUUGUGACCCACCAUAAUAUCAGGCAGUUACCAUACGAGAAAUCAAGGUCGUUGGGACGGAAGUAACCUUAUCUGCUUUUCCCCAUAAGGGCAGGGCCCUUGCAGCCAAAAGAAAGUUAUGUGGGUGGGGCUGAGCAAAAGAGUGAGCAAUUGAAAGCUUCUUACCAGUUGGUGGUGUGGGACUCUGGUUCCCCUGUACAUAUGGGAGGGAGGCUGCAGUUUGAGCUAUUGCAGUUACAGUUUUCAGGGGUCGUUUAGCAGGGAUGAUGGUAACAGUAUAGGAGAGUGAGACUUAAAAUUCUAUCAACCUUUAUUCCUAAUAUUUCCCUCAGGAUAGAACUGGAGGAACCUCCACUUGUUUUGGCUGCUGCAAAUGUGGUGAGAAAUAUCAGUUAUAAAUAUCGAGAGGACUUGUCUGCACAUCUCAUGGUAGCUGGCUGGGACCAACGUGAAGGGGGUCAGGUAUAUGGAACCCUGGGAGGAAUGCUGACUCGACAGCCUUUUGCCAUUGGUGGCUCCGGCAGCACCUUUAUCUAUGGUUAUGUGGAUGCAGCAUAUAAGCCAGGCAUGUCUCCCGAGGAGUGCAGGCGCUUCACCACAGACGGUAACCAGCCAAGUGGAAGGGUACCUGGGGAGGGCUUUUAAACAUGGGAAGGAAGUAGAUUAUGAGGAACAGGAAGAGAAAUACAGGGGUGACCAUUUAAGUUAAUGCCGGGCCUGGUACACUUUUAAGAGUGAAAAGGGGCAGGACAAAUGCAAAGCUCAAUGGGGCUCUUGGGCAAUACGGAUAAACCAGGGCUGUUCUGAGUAAAUCAAAUGAGGAUACACAGUCACUGUGAGAACCAGUGGUGUGCUAAGCACAGUGGCUCACACCUGUAAUGCCAACAAUUUGGGAGGCUGAGGCAGGAGGAUUACUUGAGCCCAGGAGUUUGAGGCCAGCCUAGGCAAGAUGGUGAAACCCUGUCUCCACAAAAAACAAUAAAAAAAAGUGAAAAAAA
Molecule: small RNA, 2665 nt
Filed under: Pan troglodytes (chimpanzee)
Lineage: Eukaryota; Metazoa; Chordata; Mammalia; Primates; Hominidae
Description: retained intron
Source: RNAcentral